GAUGAACGCUGGCGGCGUGCCUAAUACAUGCAAGUCGAGCGAACAGACGAGGAGCUUGCUCCUUUGACGUUAGCGGCGGACGGGUGAGUAACACGUGGAUAACCUACCUAUAAGACUGGGAUAACUUCGGGAAACCGGAGCUAAUACCGGAUAAUAUAUUGAACCGCAUGGUUCAAAAGUGAAAGAUGGUUUUGCUGUCACUUAUAGAUGGAUCCGCGCCGCAUUAGCUAGUUGGUAAGGUAACGGCUUACCAAGGCAACGAUGCGUAGCCGACCUGAGAGGGUGAUCGGCCACACUGGAACUGAGACACGGUCCAGACUCCUACGGGAGGCAGCAGUAGGGAAUCUUCCGCAAUGGGCGAAAGCCUGACGGAGCAACGCCGCGUGAGUGAUGAAGGUCUUCGGAUCGUAAAACUCUGUUAUUAGGGAAGAACAAAUGUGUAAGUAACUAUGCACGUCUUGACGGUACCUAAUCAGAAAGCCACGGCUAACUACGUG
RNAcentral lists this ribosomal RNA (497 nucleotides) under uncultured bacterium. Its description in RNAcentral is "partial 16S ribosomal RNA". It matches the Rfam family "Bacterial small subunit ribosomal RNA", at positions 28 to 507 of the family's 1533-position model. The record is from RNAcentral.